Molecule: non-coding RNA, 30 nt
Filed under: Xenopus tropicalis (tropical clawed frog)
Lineage: Eukaryota; Metazoa; Chordata; Amphibia; Anura; Pipidae
Also listed under: 1 other name
Source: RNAcentral
UAAAAUGCCGAAAUAGAUAACAUGUGAAGC